This 328-nucleotide ribosomal RNA is filed under the name Bacillus cereus. RNAcentral describes it as "bacterial SSU rRNA". It matches the Rfam family "Bacterial small subunit ribosomal RNA", at positions 26 to 349 of the family's 1533-position model. The record is from RNAcentral. Lineage: Bacteria; Bacillati; Bacillota; Bacilli; Caryophanales; Bacillaceae.
AGAUGAGACGCUGGCGGCGUGCCUAUACAUGCAAGUCCGAGCGAAUGGAUUAAGAGCUUGCUCUUAUGAAGUUAGCGGCGGACGGGUGAGUAACACGUGGGUAACCUGCCCAUAAAACUGGGAUAACUCCGGGAAACCGGGGCUAAUACCGGAUAACAUUUUGAACCGCAUGGUUCGAAAUUGAAAGGCGGCUUCAGGUGUCACUUAUGGAUGGACCCGCGCCCCUUAGUAGUUGGAGAGCUAACGACCACCAAUGGAACGAUGCGUACCCAACAGGAAAAGGGACCCGGAUUUUGGACUGAAACACGUUUUUAUUCGUAUGGGAGGA